This is a long non-coding RNA of Gossypium arboreum, 848 nucleotides long. RefSeq lists it as uncharacterized. The transcript has 2 exons. NCBI's taxonomy places the organism in Eukaryota, Viridiplantae, Streptophyta, Magnoliopsida, Malvales, Malvaceae. The record is from RefSeq and is a predicted model, not a curated record.
AUAUAAACAUAAGAAACAGAAUGGAAUGGAAACGAAACAGAGAAUAACAGGGGAGAAAGAAAGGAAAGAAAGAAAGAAAGGGAGAAAAGGGAAAAUUGAUGUUUUGAAGCUUUAAACUUUAAUUGUCAAUGUGGUACCAGAAAUCUCGGCUAAGAAAGGACAAGACAAAGUCAACGGGGGUUAGCUCGAAAAUUACGGUUUGUAUUUCUAUAAUCCGAACCUAAUACUUAAUUGUUGAAUUUAUUUCUUAAUAUGUAUAUUAAGUGUUUUGAAGUAAGAAUUAUUGUGUUUUGCAAAUGAAAUGGAUUGAUAUAGUAUGUGAUGAAUUUAUUGAAUUUAUAUUGAUUGAAUUGGCGUAUAUAUAUAGAUAUAUAUAUUGAAUAUUGAAUAUAUAUUGAUUAUUUGAAUUGAAUUGAAAUAUAAAUUGUUUGAAAAUUUUAAAUAUGAGAUUUGUGAUAUUUGGAUAUUUGUUAUUGAAAAGUGAAUUGAAUUGUAUUGAAUUAUGAAUUUAUGUGAUUAAUUAAAAUGUGUAUUGAUUGAAAAAAAUUGAAAGUGAAUUGAAUACCCUAUUAACAGUAUCGGGCUGAGUCGGAUAUAGUUGGCAUGCCAUAGGAUUGGAAGUGUUCAGGGAUUCUUCGACCUCGAGUCGAUGAGACACUGGGUGUCACUAUAUUUCUUCGGAUAGAUUCGAUGAGGUACUGGGUACCAACUUUACUUCGGCUAGGCCGAUGAGACACUGGGUGUCAAAUAUUGCUUCGAACUAUCCGAUGAGGCACUGGGUGCCAUAUUGGUGUGUUUGGUUGGAUCCGUGUAUCCGCCAAGGUCCGAGUCUUGUUAAUAGGGGUAAA